GACGAACGCUGGCGGCGUGCUUAACACAUGCAAGUCGAACGGGCCCGCCCCUGUUUUUGGGGGUGGGUUGAGUGGCGAACGGGUGAGUAUCACGUGAGUAACCUGCCCCCUGCUCCUGGAUAACUGCUUGAAAGGGCGGCUAAUACGGGGUGUGCCGGCUGGUCCGCAUGGGCCUGGUCGGGAUAGUUUCAUCUUCGGGUGUUUCGGUGGGGGAUGGGCUCGCGGCCUAUCAGCUUGUUGGUGGGGUGAUGGCCCACCAAGGCGGUGACGGGUAGCCGGCCUGAGAGGGUGGGCGGCCACACUGUGACUGAGGCACGGCCCAGACUCGUGCGGGAGGCAGCGGUGGGGGGUAGUGCACAAUGGGCGGAAGCCUGAUGCAGCGACGUCGCGUGAGGGAUGGAGGCCUUCGGGUUGUGAACCUCUUUCUCCGGUGGUGAAGGCCCUGUCCGUUGCGGCGGGGUUGACGGUAGCCGGGUAUGAAGCGCCGGCUAACUACGUG
This 499-nucleotide ribosomal RNA is filed under the name uncultured bacterium. RNAcentral describes it as "partial 16S ribosomal RNA". It matches the Rfam family "Bacterial small subunit ribosomal RNA", at positions 28 to 507 of the family's 1533-position model. The record is from RNAcentral.